Molecule: long non-coding RNA, 1281 nt
Organism: Papaver somniferum (opium poppy)
Lineage: Eukaryota; Viridiplantae; Streptophyta; Magnoliopsida; Ranunculales; Papaveraceae
Exons: 2
Source: RefSeq, a predicted model, not a curated record
UUAUAAAUAAAUAAGAAAAUCUGCUGUCCUGAUUUCUCUAUUCUUUUCUUUCUUCUGCACAGGCUGGCUCAUUCACAACAUAUUCUUCUCCCGUUUCCCUUCUAUUGUCGUCUCCAUUCUAUUUCUCAUAUGUAUUUUUUUUCUUUCUUUUCCUUGAAAGCUAUCAUAUAAACGUAUCCUGAGUUGAACAUGGUUGUGUUAAUUCGAAGAUGGUUGUGUUAAUUCAAGGAGAAAUCAGCACUGCUGGUUUGAAUCAGUGAAGAGACAGAAAAUAAGAAAUUAGGGUGUGCAGUAGAUAUGGUUUUGAUAGAGGAGAUCUAUGAUGAAAAUUCAAACAAAUAGGGAAUGAUUAUGUGGUGAUUUCGGGGUACGAUUUAGGUGGGAUUUGAAGGAUUGUGGUUGAAAGUCAAAGAUGGUGGUUGAUUUAAGGUUCCGAUUUCAAUCCUGAGGUUUGUUUGAUUACUUGUGUUGUUGUUCGUAACUUUAAUCUCGGUGCUUCUUCUGCUGGUGGUGAUUUGAUUACUUCCUCCUCUCUUUUCCUGUUAGAUUUCAAGCUUUUCCUUAUUUUCUUCUCCUUAAAAAUGAUGAUACUGUGAAACUGGUGAUUAUGCUGAUGGGAAGAAAUGAGUGACGAGAUCGAGAGAGAUUUUGAGAUGAGCAAGAAACAAAGAAGGAGAUUGUGUCGUUGUAACCAAGAGAUUAAAAUAAGCAGAGAAAUUAGGGAUCUAUUGAGAAGAAUCGAAAGAACAUGAUGAAGAAUUGAAGGUAGGGAUUUGAACUGAAUCGAAUUGACUAUUUGAUUAUCAUGGAUUCAUUGUUAUGGUGGAAAUGGUAAUUCGUAGACAAGAGUCAGUUGAAGCUUGGGUUAAACUCGAGCCUGAAAUGGGCAGUAACAUGGUUCAGUUUGAGUUGAAUUAGGGAAAAUUUGAAGUUGCUGCCUAAGACGGUGAUGAACACAAAAAGAAGAAGAAUAUCUGGUGAUGUAUUACUGUCAUUGUUGUGUACAAAGGGUGCUAGAUGACUUUGAAUUGGAAUUGGAAGAUUGGGUUUGUGGUUGAAUUGCAGAAUGUUGUGGUGGUUCUGGGGCGAUGUGUUGCAGAAGAUGUUGUUUCAGAGAAGGUGGUGGUGCUGAGUUGAUGUAGCGGAUGAGUGAAAUAAAGGAGAGGGUGGUGUUAGGGAAAAGAUGGAAAGUAAAGGUUAUUAUAGUAAAUAUGCCAUCAAUUUAUGCAUUUUAUUUAUUUUCUGUUUUAAUAAUAUCUAAACAGAAGUUAGUUUAACCGA